Long non-coding RNA from Vespula pensylvanica (western yellowjacket), 331 nucleotides. RefSeq lists it as uncharacterized. The transcript is spliced from 2 exons. The record is from RefSeq and is a predicted model, not a curated record. Lineage: Eukaryota; Metazoa; Arthropoda; Insecta; Hymenoptera; Vespidae.
CACUGCCAUUUCCAUCUCCGUUUCCAGUACCACUGGUAACAGUCGACGAUUGUGUGCAUUGUACCAAGGACGGGCUCCCAGGCUGCAAGUGUUCACGACUACCAGGUUGACUCCAUCCACCGUUCUCUCCGCCGCUGGUACCACUACCGUGCUGUUGAUAAAAAACAUGAAGAUUGGCUCCUCCGUCGGAGGCUCUUCGUCCAAAACUUCCUGCUGUAUGGAGUAAUAUAAUAAAUACAAUAAUUACACGUUAUAAGGAUUACUCGUAUCAGCGUGAUAGAAAAUAAAAAUUUACUUACUAGCACCCAUCACGGGUGGUGGCUUUAAUAAA